AUUGAACGCUGGCGGCAUGCCUUACACAUGCAAGUCGAACGGCAGCGCGGACUUCGGUCUGGCGGCGAGUGGCGAACGGGUGAGUAAUACAUCGGAACGUACCCUGUUGUGGGGGAUAACUAGUCGAAAGAUUAGCUAAUACCGCAUACGACCUGAGGGUGAAAGUGGGGGACCGGAAACGGCCUCAUGCAGCUGGAGCGGCCGAUGUCUGAUUAGCUAGUUGGUGGGGUAAAGGCCCACCAAGGCGACGAUCAGUAGCUGGUCUGAGAGGACGAUCAGCCACACUGGGACUGAGACACGGCCCAGACUCCUACGGGAGGCAGCAGUGGGGAAUUUUGGACAAUGGGGGCAACCCUGAUCCAGCAAUGCCGCGUGUGUGAAGAAGGCCUUCGGGUUGUAAAGCACUUUUGUCCGGAAAGAAAUCGCGCUGGUUAAUACCUGGCGUGGAUGACGGUACCGGAAGAAUAAGCACCGGCUAACUACGUG
This 486-nucleotide ribosomal RNA is filed under the name uncultured bacterium. RNAcentral describes it as "partial 16S ribosomal RNA". It matches the Rfam family "Bacterial small subunit ribosomal RNA", at positions 30 to 507 of the family's 1533-position model. The record is from RNAcentral.